CCUACGGGGGGCAGCAGUGAGGAAUAUUGGUCAAUGGUCGGGAGACUGAACCAGCCAAGCCGCGUGAGGGAUGAAGGUACAGAGUAUCGUAAACCUCUUUUGUCAGGGAACAAAGGCGGGGACGUGUCCCCGGAUGAGUGUACCUGAAGAAAAAGCAUCGGCUAACUCCGUGCCAGCAGCCGCGGUAAGACGGAGGAUGCGAGCGUUAUCCGGAUUUAUUGGGUUCAAAGGGUGGGCAGGCGGUCUGGUAAGUCAGCGGUCAAAGCCCGGGGCUCACCCCCGGCCCGCCGUUGAAACUGGCAGUCUCGAGUUGGCGCGAGGUAUGUGGACUGCGCGGUGUAGCGGU
Molecule: ribosomal RNA, 346 nt
Filed under: uncultured bacterium
Lineage: Bacteria
Description: partial 16S ribosomal RNA
Rfam family: Bacterial small subunit ribosomal RNA
Source: RNAcentral